GACGAACGCUGGCGGCGUGCUUAACACAUGCAAGUCGAACGAAGAGCGAUGGAAGCUUGCUUCUAUCAAUCUUAGUGGCGAACGGGUGAGUAACGCGUAAUCAACCUGCCCUUCAGAGGGGGACAACAGUUGGAAACGACUGCUAAUACCGCAUACGAUCUAAACUCGGCAUCGAGGAUAGAUGAAAGGUGGCCUCUACAUGUAAGCUAUCACUGAAGGAGGGGAUUGCGUCUGAUUAGCUAGUUGGAGGGGUAACGGCCCACCAAGGCGAUGAUCAGUAGCCGGUCGGAGAGGAUGAACGGCCACAUUGGGACUGAGACACGGCCCAGACUCCUACGGGAGGCAGCAGUGGGGAAUCUUCCGCAAUGGACGAAAGUCUGACGGAGCAACGCCGCGUGAGUGAUGACGGCCUUCGGGUUGUAAAGCUCUGUUAAUCGGGACGAAAGGCCUUCUUGCGAAUAGUGAGAAGGAUUGACGGUACCGGAAUAGAAAGCCACGGCUAACUACGUG
Molecule: ribosomal RNA, 510 nt
Filed under: uncultured bacterium
Lineage: Bacteria
Description: partial 16S ribosomal RNA
Rfam family: Bacterial small subunit ribosomal RNA
Source: RNAcentral